UGCUCGGGCAUAUCGCCUUCAUUUGCGAUGACUUCCGUAAGGCUUCUGACAUCGUAUACAAGACAGUCAACCCCAGUAGAGUCUCUUCCUGCAGCAGCUUGCCUCCUGUAAAGAUGUUGACGAUUUAGGUGCGCCUGGUCUGUACUCACGGAUGCGGCUACCUGGGACGCCUGGACGCUCAUGUCUGCUGCGCACCGUUGCUGCUGCUGUUGCUGGAGGCCUGCUGUAGUUGCUGCGGCGCUCAUCGCGGUCCACAACCGAAAUCAGAGGACACCGUACUGCUGUGGCUACCUGUCGUCGGAGCGAGUCAGCGCGCUCGCGUCACCCGGCCGCGCAGUCGAUGGAGGCCAGAGUGGACAGCACAAGCCAUGGUCGCUCGCUGCUCGGAUUCGCCCUCUGCAGUCAGAACAACCUCGUGCGCACAGCUGGUUGCCAGACGCCGGGGAGCUGUCCUCAGAGCGAGACUGUUCGGGUGCACGAGCGAGCUUUCUCCUCAUUGAUGGUCCGUGUGACGACACGUGCUCAAAGCGGGUCGACGUGGUAUUCUGCUCCCAGUGGACGCGAGCUUCUGGCCGCCGGCGGACAUCGUGUGCUCGUCUGUGGCGAGUUGCGUGCAGUUGUUUCGAGAGUGGAUUCGUCAGCGUUUUGGCAUCGGGACUGACAC
Dermacentor albipictus is the source of this 664-nucleotide long non-coding RNA. RefSeq lists it as uncharacterized. Lineage: Eukaryota; Metazoa; Arthropoda; Arachnida; Ixodida; Ixodidae. The record is from RefSeq and is a predicted model, not a curated record.